RNAcentral lists this ribosomal RNA (373 nucleotides) under uncultured organism. RNAcentral's name for it is "bacterial SSU rRNA". It matches the Rfam family "Bacterial small subunit ribosomal RNA", at positions 526 to 896 of the family's 1533-position model. The record is from RNAcentral.
CGUAGGCAGCGAGCGUUGUUCGGAGUUACUGGGCGUAAAGGGUGCGUAGGCGGCCUAUUAAGGUUUGUCGUGAAAUCUCCCGGCUCAACUGGGAGGGUGCGGCGGAUACUGAUGGGGCUUGGAGUGCGGGAGAGGAGAGUGGAAUUCCUGGUGUAGCGGUGAAAUGCGUAGAUAUCAGGAGGAACACCGGCGGUGUAGACGGCUCUCUGGACCGUAACUGACGCUGAGGCACGAAAGCGUGGGUAGCAAACAGGAUUAGAUACCCUGGUAGUCCACGCCCUAAACGAUGCGCAUUUGGUGUGGGCAGUUCAUUCUGUCCGUGCCGGAGCUAACGCGUUAAAUGCGCCGCCUGGGGAGUACAGUCGCAAGGCUG